This 315-nucleotide ribosomal RNA is filed under the name uncultured eukaryote. RNAcentral describes it as "partial 18S ribosomal RNA". It matches the Rfam family "Eukaryotic small subunit ribosomal RNA", at positions 1470 to 1796 of the family's 1831-position model. The record is from RNAcentral.
CCCUUAGAUGUCCUGGGCCGCACGCGCGCUACACUGACGCACGCAACAGGUGCCUGCUCCGAGAGGACUGGGUAAUCAUUUGAGUGUGCGUCGUGAUGGGGAUAGAAUAUUGUAAUUAUUACUCUUCAACGAGGAAUUCCUAGUAAGCGCCAGUCAGCAGCUUGCGCUGAUUACGUCCCUGCCCUUUGUACACACCGCCCGUCGCUCCUACCGAUGGGUGAUCCGGUGAAUGAUUCGGACUUCAGCGGCUCCCCUGGGGUGCGCCGGAGAAAGUUUUGUGAACCUUAUCACUUGGAGGAAGGAGAAGUCGUAACA